UGGGGAAUAUUGCACAAUGGGCGCAAGCCUGAUGCAGCCAUGCCGCGUGUGUGAAGAAGGCCUUCGGGUUGUAAAGCACUUUCAGCGAGGAGGAAGGUGGUGAACUUAAUACGUUCAUCAAUUGACGUUACUCGCAGAAGAAGCACCGGCUAACUCCGUGCCAGCAGCCGCGGUAAUACGGAGGGUGCAAGCGUUAAUCGGAAUUACUGGGCGUAAAGCGCACGCAGGCGGUUUGUUAAGUCAGAUGUGAAAUCCCCGGGCUCAACCUGGGAACUGCAUUUGAAACUGGCAAGCUAGAGUCUCGUAGAGGGGGGUAGAAUUCCAGGUGUAGCGGUGAAAUGCGUAGAGAUCUGGAGGAAUACCGGUGGCGAAGGCGGCCCCCUGGACGAAGACUGACGCUCAGGUGCGAAAGCGUGGGGAGCAAACAGGAUUAGA
Molecule: ribosomal RNA, 435 nt
Filed under: uncultured bacterium
Lineage: Bacteria
Description: partial 16S ribosomal RNA
Rfam family: Bacterial small subunit ribosomal RNA
Source: RNAcentral